CCUACGGUGUGCUGCAGUGGGGAAUAUUGGACAAUGGGCGAAAGCCUGAUCCAGCCAUGCCGCGUGUGUGAAGAAGGCCUUCGGGUUGUAAAGCACUUUCAGUGGGGAAGAAAGCCUUGGGGCUAAUACCCUCGAGGAAGGACAUCACCCACAGAAGAAGCACCGGCUAACUCCGUGCCAGCAGCCGCGGUAAUACGGAGGGUGCGAGCGUUAAUCGGAAUUACUGGGCGUAAAGCGCGCGUAGGCGGUCUGAUAAGCCGGUUGUGAAAGCCCCGGGCUCAACCUGGGAACGGCAUCCGGAACGGUCAGGCUAGAGUGCAGGAGAGGAGGGUAGAAUUCCCGGGGUAGCGGUGAAAUGCGUAGAGAUCGGGAGGAAUACCAGUGGCGAAGGCGGCCUUCUGGACUGACACUGACGCGGAGGUGCGAAAGCGUGGGUAGCAAACAGGAUUAGAUACCCCAGUAGUC
This 465-nucleotide ribosomal RNA is filed under the name Vreelandella stevensii. Its description in RNAcentral is "partial 16S ribosomal RNA". It matches the Rfam family "Bacterial small subunit ribosomal RNA", at positions 338 to 795 of the family's 1533-position model. Lineage: Bacteria; Pseudomonadati; Pseudomonadota; Gammaproteobacteria; Oceanospirillales; Halomonadaceae. The record is from RNAcentral.